RNAcentral lists this ribosomal RNA (274 nucleotides) under uncultured bacterium. Its description in RNAcentral is "partial 16S ribosomal RNA". It matches the Rfam family "Bacterial small subunit ribosomal RNA", at positions 523 to 796 of the family's 1533-position model. The record is from RNAcentral.
CUACGGAGGAUGCAAGCGUUAUUCGGAAUCACUGGGCGUAAAGGACGCGUAGGCGGGUUGGCAAGUCAGAUGUGAAAUCCUACAGCUUAACUGUAGAACUGCAUUUGAAACUGCUAACCUAGAGUAUGGGAGGGGGAGAUGGAAUUAGUGGUGUAGGGGUAAAAUCCGUAGAUAUCACUAGGAAUACCGAAAGCGAAGGCGAUCUCCUGGAACAUAACUGACGCUAAGGCGUGAAAGCGUGGGGAGCAAACAGGAUUAGAAACCCUAGUAGUCC